Molecule: ribosomal RNA, 253 nt
Filed under: uncultured bacterium
Lineage: Bacteria
Description: partial 16S ribosomal RNA
Rfam family: Bacterial small subunit ribosomal RNA
Source: RNAcentral
GACGAACCGUGCGAACGUUGUUCGGAAUCACUGGGCUUAAAGGGCGCGUAGGCGGGCUGUCAAGUCUGGGGUGAAAUCCCACGGCUCAACCGUGGAACUGCCUCAGAUACUGACGGCCUCGAGGGAGAUAGGGGCGAGCGGAACUGUGAGUGGAGCGGUGAAAUGCGUUGAUAUUCACAGGAACUCCGGUGGCGAAGGCGGCUCGCUGGAUCUCUUCUGACGCUGAGGCGCGAAAGCCAGGGGAGCAAACGGG